CCAUAGCCCUGAUGGGAACGGCAUCCUUUUUCUCGGUGGGGUCGGGCAAGCUUAGGCACCGAGAAAAAGAUACAGUGGACAGCAGGUUCCCGG
This 93-nucleotide small RNA is filed under the name Epilithonimonas lactis. Its description in RNAcentral is "Chryseobacterium halperniae Flavo-1 RNA". It matches the Rfam family "Flavo-1 RNA". The record is from RNAcentral. Lineage: Bacteria; Pseudomonadati; Bacteroidota; Flavobacteriia; Flavobacteriales; Weeksellaceae.